UUCUUGCACUAAUAUUUGAUUUAAUCCUAUUUAAGUGGAUGGAUUAUUGAACUUACGUUAGAUUUGAUCAUAUUAAAGUGGUUGGAUUAUAAGUUCAAUUUGUGUAUUGUUUCAUGUCCCAAUUAAGUCUGAUUUCUAGUUGCAUUUAUCUACAUAUUUUAAUUUCCUUUUGGGAUGUGCAUUAAAGGGGUCUCACUCCUAUAUUCAAAGCUAUAUAUAUAUUCUUAUGUUUUAUUAUUGUUCAUAAUGAAUCAACAGGCAUUCGAA
This 267-nucleotide long non-coding RNA is filed under the name Lathyrus oleraceus (garden pea). RNAcentral's name for it is "Pisum sativum (pea) long non-coding RNA (PSAT_LNC018828)". Lineage: Eukaryota; Viridiplantae; Streptophyta; Magnoliopsida; Fabales; Fabaceae. The record is from RNAcentral.